AUCAGUGGCGAACGGGUGAGUAACACGUGAGCAACCUGCCCCUGACUCUGGGAUAAGCGCUGGAAACGGCGUCUAAUACUGGAUAUGUGACGUGAUCGCAUGGUCUGCGUCUGGAAAGAAUUUCGGUUGGGGAUGGGCUCGCGGCCUAUCAGCUUGUUGGUGAGGUAAUGGCUCACCAAGGCGUCGACGGGUAGCCGGCCUGAGAGGGUGACCGGCCACACUGGGACUGAGACACGGCCCAGACUCCUACGGGAGGCAGCAGUGGGGAAUAUUGCACAAUGGGCGCAAGCCUGAUGCAGCAACGCCGCGUGAGGGACGACGGCCUUCGGGUUGUAAACCUCUUUUAGCAGGGAAGAAGCGAAAGUGACGGUACCUGCAGAAAAAGCGCCGGCUAACUACGUGCCAGCAGCCGCGGUAAUACGUAGGGCGCAAGCGUUAUCCGGAAUUAUUGGGCGUAAAGAGCUCGUAGGCGGUUUGUCGCGUCUGCUGUGAAAUCCGGAGGCUCAACCUCCGGCCUGCAGUGGGUACGGGCAGACUAGAGUGCGGUAGGGGAGAUUGGAAUUCCUGGUGUAGCGGUGGAAUGCGCAGAUAUCAGGAGGAACACCGAUGGCGAAGGCAGAUCUCUGGGCCGUAACUGACGCUGAGGAGCGAAAGGGUGGGGAGCAAACAGGCUUAGAUACCCUGGUAGUCCACCCCGUAAACGUUGGGAACUAGUUGUGGGGUCCAUUCCACGGAUUCCGUGACGCAGCUAACGCAUUAAGUUCCCCGCCUGGGGAGUACGGCCGCAAGGCUAAAACUCAAAGGAAUUGACGGGGACCCGCACAAGCGGCGGAGCAUGCGGAUUAAUUCGAUGCAACGCGAAGAACCUUACCAAGGCUUGACAUAUACGAGAACGGGCCAGAAAUGGUCAACUCUUUGGACACUCGUAAACAGGUGGUGCAUGGUUGUCGUCAGCUCGUGUCGUGAGAUGUUGGGUUAAGUCCCGCAACGAGCGCAACCCUCGUUCUAUGUUGCCAGCACGUAAUGGUGGGAACUCAUGGGAUACUGCCGGGGUCAACUCGGAGGAAGGUGGGGAUGACGUCAAAUCAUCAUGCCCCUUAUGUCUUGGGCUUCACGCAUGCUACAAUGGCCGGUACAAAGGGCUGCAAUACCGUGAGGUGGAGCGAAUCCCAAAAAGCCGGUCCCAGUUCGGAUUGAGGUCUGCAACUCGACCUCAUGAAGUCGGAGUCGCUAGUAAUCGCAGAUCAGCAACGCUGCGGUGAAUACGUUCCCGGGUCUUGUACACACCGCCCGUCAAGUCAUGAAAGUC
Molecule: ribosomal RNA, 1309 nt
Filed under: Microbacterium sp.
Lineage: Bacteria; Bacillati; Actinomycetota; Actinomycetes; Micrococcales; Microbacteriaceae
Description: bacterial SSU rRNA
Rfam family: Bacterial small subunit ribosomal RNA
Source: RNAcentral